AUUGAACGCUGGCGGCAUGCCUUACACAUGCAAGUCGAACGGUAACAGGUCUUCGGAUGCUUACGAGUGGCGAACGGGUGAGUAAUACAUCGGAACGUGCCCGAUCGUGGGGGAUAACGAGGCGAAAGCUUUGCUAAUACCGCAUACGAUCUACGGAUGAAAGCGGGGGAUCUUCGGACCUCGCGCGGACGGAGCGGCCGAUGGCAGAUUAGGUAGUUGGUGGGAUAAAAGCUUACCAAGCCGACGAUCUGUAGCUGGUCUGAGAGGAUGAUCAGCCACACUGGGACUGAGACACGGCCCAGACUCCUACGGGAGGCAGCAGUGGGGAAUUUUGGACAAUGGGCGAAAGCCUGAUCCAGCCAUGCCGCGUGCAGGAUGAAGGCCUUCGGGUUGUAAACUGCUUUUGUACGGAACGAAAAGCCUCUUUCUAAUAAAGAGGGGUCAUGACGGUACCGUAAGAAUAAGCACCGGCUAACUACGUG
Molecule: ribosomal RNA, 482 nt
Filed under: uncultured bacterium
Lineage: Bacteria
Description: partial 16S ribosomal RNA
Rfam family: Bacterial small subunit ribosomal RNA
Source: RNAcentral